This 224-nucleotide ribosomal RNA is filed under the name Listeria monocytogenes. RNAcentral's name for it is "partial 23S ribosomal RNA". It matches the Rfam family "Bacterial large subunit ribosomal RNA", at positions 1607 to 1831 of the family's 2925-position model. Lineage: Bacteria; Bacillati; Bacillota; Bacilli; Caryophanales; Listeriaceae. The record is from RNAcentral.
GUCAAGAAAAGCCUCGAGGAAGAGUAGUACUGCCCGUACCGCAAACCGACACAGGUACAUGAGGAGAGAAUCCUAAGGAGAGCGAGAGCACUCCCGGUAAGGAACUCGGCAAAAUGACCCCGUAACCUCGGGAGAAGGGGUGCUCUAUUAGGGUGCAAGCCCGAGAGAGCCGCAGUGAAUAGGCCCAGGCGACUGUUUAGCAAAAACACAGGUCUCUGCAAAAC